UACGUAGGGGGCGAGCGUUGUCCGGAGUUACUGGGCGUAAAGGGCAUGCAGGCGGUCGGACGCGUGUGGUGUGACAGCGCAGGGCUUCACCCUGCGAGGCUACGACAAACGGUCUGACUUGAGGACGCGAGAGGGACACGGAAUUCCGGGUGGAGUGGUGAAAUGCGUAGAGAUCCGGAGGAACACCGAAGGCGAAGGCAGUGUCCUGGCGCGUGACUGACGCUGAGGUGCGAAAGCCAGGGGAG
RNAcentral lists this ribosomal RNA (245 nucleotides) under uncultured bacterium. RNAcentral's name for it is "partial 16S ribosomal RNA". It matches the Rfam family "Bacterial small subunit ribosomal RNA", at positions 524 to 768 of the family's 1533-position model. The record is from RNAcentral.